Molecule: long non-coding RNA, 2287 nt
Filed under: Phaseolus vulgaris (common bean)
Lineage: Eukaryota; Viridiplantae; Streptophyta; Magnoliopsida; Fabales; Fabaceae
Description: long non-coding RNA (PVUL_LNC001648)
Source: RNAcentral
GUCCUAAAUUUUCAUCAUCCUCAAUCCCUUGUUUUACUUCUGCAUCAGAUGUUUGAACCUUAUCAUGUUGAUCAGUAUAGCUAGUGGUGUUUACUUUGGCAGUGUCAUCAUCUACAUAUUGUUUUGUUUGUUCCUCUUCGUUAGGUUUUUUCUCUGUAAUGUCUUCAUCCAGCUGUAUCUGUUCUUCUUUAGUGUCAUCAACUCUUUCAGUUACGAUCGCUACUGAAAUUCCUAUUGGUUGCCGAAUUUGAUUUUCUGGAUAUUAAGAAUCAAUCAUUUACAUGAAUUCUGCUAUCUUAUUAUUUAAAUGCAUGUGCAGGUUCUUUGCAAAAUAAAAAAUAGUCGCAGUGGCUCAUAUAGCUCCCAUAUUUGCCAAGGAAUUACUGUACACAUUUUAUCGACCGGAUUUAGUAGUGAGUAAAACAGGCAUUUUCAUCUCAAUACUUGUUUUUAAAUUUCUAUAUACAAUAAAUUAUAUUUCUUUCACGCAAAGUACUGUUUAGUUUUAUUUUCUUUACAGUAUUGAAGUUUUUCUUUUGGUUAGUGUUUUUGAGUAAAAACCGGUUCUAAAAUUUCAAAACAUAGUUACCUUCGAUUUCUGACUUGUCGGUCUUGAAAUCAGCCAAUGUUUUGGAAUCUGUUUCUUCCUCUGCUUUAAUUUUUGUUGCAUCGCUGGUGGCUGAAUUCUCUGUUACUUUGCUGAUAUAGCUAGUGGUGUUUAUUUCGGCAGUGUCCUCAUCUACAAAUUGUGUUGUUUGUUCCUCUUCGUUAGGUUUUUUCUCUGUAAUGUCUUCAUCCAGUUGUAUCUGUUCUUCUUUAGUGUCACCAACUCUUUCGGUUACGAUCGUUAGUGCAAUUCCUAUUGGUUGCCAAACUUGAUCUUCUGGAUAUUAAGAAUCAAUGAUUUACAUAAAUAUUGGCAUCUUAUUAUUUAAGUGCAUGUACAGGUUUUUUGCAAAAUAGAAAAUAGUCCCAGUGGCUCAUAAAGCUCCCAUAUUUGCCAAGGAAUUACUGUACACAUUUUAUCGUCUGGAUAUAGUAGUGAGUAAAACAGCCAUUUUCAUCUAAACACGUGUUUUUAAAUUUCUAUGUACAUUAAAUAAUAUUUCUUUCACGCGAAGUAGUGUUUAGUUUUAUUUUCUUUACAGUAUUGAAGUUUUACUUUUGGUUAGUGUUUUUGAGUAAAAACCGGUUCUAAAAUUUCAAAACAUAGUUACCUUCGAUUUCUGACUUGUCGGUCUUGAAAUCAGCCAAUGUUCUGGAAUCUGUUCCUUCCUCUGCUUUAAUUUUUGUUGCAUCGCUGGUGGCUGAAUUCUCUAUUACUUUGCUGAUAUUGUCCUUGGUCUCGGGUUUUUCAGUUUCCUAGUUGAAUUUAUGAAAUGUUUGUGUGAAAUUUCUUUCAUAAGUUACGAAAAUUAUUGAUUUUAUUUUCAAAGGAGAUGCAAUAUAUGUAAAGUUUUACUAAUUUAAACCACUUAGGCCUAACCUGAGCAAAAGUGGUAUUUCUUCCAAGUUCAAUUUCUUCUAUGCAACUUUGCUUGACAUAAUCAAUAGCUUCUGAUUCAUCAACAUGCAGUAAUUCUUGCUGUAAGAUUUUUUCAGUGUCCAUUUGAACAGAAGCAGGAGUGAGUGUUAGGACUUCUUCCUUGGGUAACUGCAUUUUGCUUGAUUCUGCUGUAGCUUGGUCUUCUAUCUGUGGUCCUAAAUUUUCAUCAUCCUCAAUCCCUUGUUUUACUUCUGUAUCAGAUGUUUGAACCUUGUCAUGUUGAUCAAUAUAGCUAGUGGUGUUUAUUUCGGCAGUGUCCUCAUCUACACAUUGUGUUGUUUGUUCCUCUUCGUUAGGUUUUUUCUCUGUAAUGUCUUCAUCCAGCUGUAUCUGUUCUCCUUUAGUGUCAUCAACUCUUUCGGUUAAGAUCGCUAUUGAAAUUUCUAUUGGUUGCCGAACUUGAUCUACUGGAUAUUAAGAAUCAAUUAUUUACAUAAAUUGUGCCAUCUUAUUAUUUAAGUGCAUGUACAGGUUUUUUGCAAAAUAGAAAAUAGUCCCAGUGGCUCAGAAAGCUCCCAUAUUUGCCAAGGAAUUACAGUACAUAUUUUAUCGUCUGGAUAUAGUAGUGACUAAAACAGCCAUUUUCAUCUAAACACGUGUUUUUAAAUUUCUAUAUACAUUAAAUAAUAUUUCUUUCAAGCAAAGUACUGUUUAGUUUUAAUUCUUUACAGUAAUGAAGUUUUUCUUUUGGUUAGUGCUUUCGAGUGAAAACCGGUUCUAAAAUUUCAAAACAUAGUUACC